This 460-nucleotide ribosomal RNA is filed under the name uncultured bacterium. Its description in RNAcentral is "partial 16S ribosomal RNA". It matches the Rfam family "Bacterial small subunit ribosomal RNA", at positions 338 to 795 of the family's 1533-position model. The record is from RNAcentral.
CCUACGGGAGGCAGCAGUGAGGAAUAUUGGUCAAUGGACGAGAGUCUGAACCAGCCAAGUAGCGUGAAGGAUGACUGCCCUCUGGGUUGUAAACUUCUUUUAUAUGGGAAUAAAAUGUUCCACGUGUGGGAUUUUGUAUGUACCAUAUGAAUAAGGAUCGGCUAACUUCGUGCCAGCAGCCGCGGUAAUACGGUGGAUCCGAGCGUUAUCCGGAUGUAUUGGGUUUAUAGGGAGCGUAGGUGGAUUGUUAAGUCAGUUGUGAAAGUUUGCGGCUCAACCGUAAAAUUGCAGUUGAAACUGGCAGUCUUGAGUACAGUAGAGGUGGGCGGAAUUCGUGGUGUAGCGGUGAAAUGCGUAGAUAUCACGAAGAACACCGGUUGCGAAGGCAGCUCACUGGACUGCAACUGACGCUGAGGCUCGAAAGUGUGGGUAGCAAACAGGAUUAGAUACCUUUGUAGUC